AGUUGGGGGGGAGAGAGAGUCGUACCCUCCUACGCCCAUUUUAGCUGUUAAGCUGGGGAUAUUUUAGACUUUUCUCACCUUAAAACCUUAAUACCCCACAUCUUAAAACACAUUGUAGCCUCUCAUAACACACUUUGAAAGACCAAAUCACUCCUAAAACUAUUUCUAAACUCUCUCUUAAAGAUUGGGCUAGGGUUUCUACAAGGUGUUCAUCUAGAGGCUCA
This 224-nucleotide long non-coding RNA is filed under the name Capsicum annuum. RNAcentral's name for it is "long non-coding RNA (CANN_LNC015892)". Lineage: Eukaryota; Viridiplantae; Streptophyta; Magnoliopsida; Solanales; Solanaceae. The record is from RNAcentral.